GAUGAACGCUCGCGAUAGGCUUAACACAUGCAAGUCGAGGGGCAGCAUGGUCUUAGCUUGCUAAGACUGAUGGCGACCGGCGCACGGGUGCGUAACGCGUAUGCAACUUGCCUCACAGAGGGGGAUAACCCGUCGAAAGACGGACUAAUACCGCGUACACUUGGGAUAGGGCAUCCUGACCCAAGGAAAUGAAAUUCGCUGUGAGAUAGGCAUGCGUCCCAUUAGCUAGUUGGUGAGGUAACGGCUCACCAAGGCGACGAUGGGUAGGGGAACUGAGAGGGUGAACCCCCACACUGGUACUGAGACACGGACCAGACUCCUACGGGAGGCAGCAGUGAGGAAUAUUGGUCAAUGGGCGAGAGCCUGAACCAGCCAAGUCGCGUGAAGGAUGACUGUCUUAUGGAUUGUAAACUUCUUUUAGACGGGAAUAACAAGAGUCACGUGUGGCUCCCUGCAUGUACCGUAUGAAUAAGCAUCGGCUAACUCCGUG
This 490-nucleotide ribosomal RNA is filed under the name uncultured bacterium. RNAcentral's name for it is "partial 16S ribosomal RNA". It matches the Rfam family "Bacterial small subunit ribosomal RNA", at positions 28 to 507 of the family's 1533-position model. The record is from RNAcentral.